GUGAUGGAAUCAAAACCAAACAUCGUUGCUAAAUACUCAUUUUCCCGGAGGCGAUGAAGAGAUCUGGUGGUUCUAGUGAGAUGAAUCUUUCAUGAAUCUACCAGUUUUAUAUAGAAAGGAGAAGGAGAGGAAUACGAAGUGGAAGAAGACAGAGGAAAAAUUGGAAUCGACAUGGCUUUGAAAAUGUGUUAGAAAAGAAUGAUUUUGUUAUGAAUAUUGUGUGAUGUAUAUUAUGGAAUGUUCUAGAUUUACUUGAUUCUCAAGUUUACUUGUUCACCAAGCUAUUGUAAUCCUAUAUAAAGAUCCUUACUCAUUGAAUAAGAUA
This is a long non-coding RNA of Raphanus sativus (radish), 325 nucleotides long. RefSeq lists it as uncharacterized. NCBI's taxonomy places the organism in Eukaryota, Viridiplantae, Streptophyta, Magnoliopsida, Brassicales, Brassicaceae. The record is from RefSeq and is a predicted model, not a curated record. The transcript has 2 exons.